UACGUAGGCAGCGAGCGUUGUUCGGAAUUACUGGGCGUAAAGAGUGUGUAGGCGGUGCUCUAAGUUCGGUGUGAAAUCUCCCGGCUUAACUGGGAGGGUGCGCCGGAAACUGGAGUGCUCGAGCGUGGGAGAGGAAAGCGGAAUUCCUGGUGUAGCGGUGAAAUGCGUAGAUAUCAGGAGGAACACCUGUGGUGUAGACGGCUUUCUGGACCAUAGCUGACGCUGAGACACGAAAGCGUGGGUAGCAAACAGG
This 253-nucleotide ribosomal RNA is filed under the name uncultured bacterium. Its description in RNAcentral is "partial 16S ribosomal RNA". It matches the Rfam family "Bacterial small subunit ribosomal RNA", at positions 524 to 776 of the family's 1533-position model. The record is from RNAcentral.